AUGGUCCUCGUUCGCUACGGCGUCUCUUACCUCAUCGAACAUCCCCCGCCACCCAAUGCCGAUGCCGCCUAUCUUGAACUUGAUGCCCAUGUUGCCCUUUGGAUCUACGCCACUCUCUCUGAUGCCAUGGUGGACCAUGUCGUCGGCGCCACCACCACGUUCGCCCUCUGGAAGAAGAUCCAUGACUACUUCCUCUCGAACCGCGCCGCCCGGUUCAUGAUCCUCAACAGGCAAUAUCGCAACCUUAAGCGGGGCGAUCUCUCUGUCCAGGAGUACGCCCGCCGCAUGAAACACCUGACAGAUGGUCUCGCCGACAUCGAGCACGCCAUCACCGAGGUUGAUCUCACAACCCAAUUCCUCCACGGUCUUGACAAACGCCUCGACACCAUCCGUGUGGUCCUCGGUGAUCAGGGGCUGCCAUUCGACGUCGUGCUCUCCCGCAUCACCUGGCCGAGGAGUCCAUGGCGCAACACUCCGCUGAGGAAAGCACCUCGGUGUUCGCCCUCCAGAACGGGGGCUCUUCUACUGGCAGCAGCUCGGGCACUGGUGGUUCUCGCGGGGACCGCUCCGGCGACCGUGGCCAUGAGCGUACCACGGGCCCGUCGCCGCACCCCCUGCCCGUGGCCGCGGCGACCGCUCGGGUGA
Molecule: ribosomal RNA, 645 nt
Filed under: Triticum aestivum (bread wheat)
Lineage: Eukaryota; Viridiplantae; Streptophyta; Magnoliopsida; Poales; Poaceae
Description: partial small subunit ribosomal RNA
Source: RNAcentral